RNAcentral lists this long non-coding RNA (1736 nucleotides) under Jatropha curcas. RNAcentral describes it as "long non-coding RNA (JCUR_LNC001182)". Lineage: Eukaryota; Viridiplantae; Streptophyta; Magnoliopsida; Malpighiales; Euphorbiaceae. The record is from RNAcentral.
UCAAAUACACAUGCACAUACACAAACAAAUGAUAUGAUUUAAAUUAAUUUACAAAUAAAGGAUAGUAACAUCACAUCCACGGCUAAGGCCAAGAGCUAUUUGUAGAGCUAUUUGUAAAGCAGACAAAGCAAAUUCAGAAGCUCAAAGUCAUCCAGCCAACGGUCGCAUCUAUUCCCUACAAUCAAAGACACACAGCAAAUGGUAUCAUCACAUCCUCAAAUACACAUGCACAUACACAGACCGAGAGAUACAGCUGAAAACAGGGACACUUCAGUUUUAUACUUUUCAGAAAAAGAUUUUCAAAGAAAAGGCCCAAACAGAAAGAGAGAAAUCUGUAGAAAGAGAAGGCUCAGAUCAGAUAUGCUUUCAAAUCAGACAGGACAGAAACACCACAACACCAGGGCUGCAACAACAAAAGGUUGCCUUGCCAAGAAAUUGAGUAUUUCUCCUUGAGUCUGACUUUUCAGGCUCACUGAUUAAUUAUAUCAUAGCCUCGCCAGUCCCAGACAGCCACUCACACACACAAGAAAGAAAGCAGGCAUAUUUGUAUAAGGGCUGUUGCCAACAUAAGAAACGUAAUCAGUACUCGCUGGCUCCGCUACCUACCAAAGAGGACAGAGUCAACCACCCUGAAACCAACCGCCUCUCACUGAGAGCAAAGCCUCGUACUUAAAUCAUUCACCCGCAAUCUUAACAAAAUUCAUGCAAAAGCAAUCGCGAAUGUUUUUUUAGAAAAAUGUUCAAAAUCAAGUGCGAGCAAGAAAAGGAACUGAAGUUGAAGUACCUGUUAUGUUAACCUUUUUUUAUGGCUAGCCACAUACUAGCCAUCAAGAAAACAGGAAAAUACUAGAGUAAACAGGCAGCCAUUAGUUGUCAAAAUAUAAGUUGGUGGAUAUAGGCCAGAACACUAUCGAGGAAGUUACAAUUGAUUAAGAGUAUACAAGUUCACAAUCAAAGUGUAACUACUAAGUGGAGAUUCACUAGAACAGCAGCAAAUCAUAUUUCACUGUAUUGUGUGACAAAUGAGGAGCUGUAAAACGUCAUAGAUGACUCAGACUCAUAGGAUUGCGAAGCAAAUGCAUAAGAAGAUUCUAACAAAAAGCUGAUUAUGAUACAUUGCCUGCCAUUUGUUCAUGUACUAUAUAGAUAAAAAAAGAUAUGAUAAACCAGCAUCCUACUUAAUUGAUACAUCAAAAGCAUCAAGAAGGAUGCCUACCACGACAAUCUUCAUAAAUUGACAACAUUGAUAAUAACUUCAUUCUCAUUCUCAUUCUCAUGGUUGGCUUUCUACUCUCAUCCACAAGACCAAAAUUGACAAGCUUAGUGCAAAAUAUUGAAAAACAGUUCAACGAGAAAAAAUAUAAAAAUGAACUCCACACAAUUGAUUUUUUAAUUUUGAAUUUUCAUGUUCGGUAUCAACUGUAAUGUAAAUUAACAUGACUAAAUCAAAUGAUAUGCUUUAAAUUCAUUUACAACAAAUAAACAACGGAUAGGAACAUCACAUCCACGGCUAAGACAAAGAGCUACGUGUCAAACAGACAAAGCAAAAUCAGAAGCUCAAACUCACCGAGCCAAAUGUCCGAUCAAUUCCCUACAAUCAAAUUCACCCAGCAAAUGGUAUACCAUCACAGCCUCAAAUACACAUGCACAUACACAGACAGAUAUACUGCUGAAUUUAGGGAAACUUUAAUUUUAUAUUUUUUAGAAAAAUAUUUUCCAAGAAAACAAACAAGGCN